GUAAUGUUUCUUGCUCAAAUGAGUAUUCCAAUCACAGUUGCAUUUGCAUGUAUAUCAGUCCAAAAUAUAGAGUAUAGUCUAUAUAUAUAGUCUCUGUUUACUGUAAGUUUGGCUGAUAAUGCUUCUGUUUCUGAGAUGCUCAUUUGAACAAGCAAUGUUAA
Theobroma cacao (cacao) is the source of this 161-nucleotide microRNA precursor. It matches the Rfam family "MIR828 microRNA precursor family". Lineage: Eukaryota; Viridiplantae; Streptophyta; Magnoliopsida; Malvales; Malvaceae. The record is from Rfam.